UAUAUUUAAUCGUCACUUUAGUUACAAAUGUUGCAAGUUUUAAGAUGCUAUCUUGAUACACAAUGCAGCUUUAAUAUGAUUAUUUAAUGAGUAAUCAACUCUUACACCCAUAUCGUGGCAUUACUUUGACAACGCGAAGUUGAAAGAGUAUAACAGUGCAGAGGACAACAACAGAACAAGAUUGACUGCUACACCAACAGACAGUUUGACAAGUGACUCUCACAACUUCUACUGACGAAAACAGGUCCCAAGCACAGGCCAAAAUGUGUGCCAUUUUAUUAGAAUAUAUUUAAUCGUCACUUUUAGUUACAAAUGUUGCAAGUUUUAAGAUGCUAUCUUGAUACACAAUGCAGCUUUAAUAUGAUUAUUUAAUGAGUAAUCAACUCUUACACCCAUAUCGUGGCAUUACUUUGACAACGCGAAGUUGAAAGAGUAUAACAGUGCAGAGGACAACAACAGAACAAGAUUAACUGCUACACCAACAGACAGUUUGACAAGUGACUCUCACAACUUCUACUGACGAAAACAGGUCCCAAGCACAGGCCAAAAUGUGUGCCAUUUUAUUGGAAUAAAGCAUCAAAAUUAUCGACAAGUCUUUCAGUAAAAAGAAACCAAACAUACUGCAAAAACAGGG
This 634-nucleotide long non-coding RNA is filed under the name Triticum aestivum (bread wheat). Its description in RNAcentral is "long non-coding RNA (TAES_LNC021074)". The record is from RNAcentral. Lineage: Eukaryota; Viridiplantae; Streptophyta; Magnoliopsida; Poales; Poaceae.